AGUGGGGUAGCUUAGUGGUAGAGCACUUGCCUAACAUGCAUGAGGCUUUGAGUUUGAUUUCCAACACUG
Non-coding RNA from Fukomys damarensis (Damara mole-rat), 69 nucleotides. NCBI's taxonomy places the organism in Eukaryota, Metazoa, Chordata, Mammalia, Rodentia, Bathyergidae. The record is from Rfam.